RNAcentral lists this ribosomal RNA (36 nucleotides) under Neoscirpus dioicus. RNAcentral's name for it is "partial 28S ribosomal RNA". Lineage: Eukaryota; Viridiplantae; Streptophyta; Magnoliopsida; Poales; Cyperaceae. The record is from RNAcentral.
GAUACCCCAGGUCAGGCGGGGCUACCCGCCGAGUUU